AUUGAACGCUGGCGGCAUGCCUUACACAUGCAAGUCGAACGGCAGCACGGGAGCAAUCCUGGUGGCGAGUGGCGAACGGGUGAGUAAAGUAUCGGAACGUACCUUUCAGUGGGGGAUAACGUAGCGAAAGUUACGCUAAUACCGCAUAUUCUGUGAGCAGGAAAGCAGGGGAUCGCAAGACCUUGCGCUGAUUGAGCGGCCGAUAUCAGAUUAGCUAGUUGGUGAGGUAAAGGCUCACCAAGGCGACGAUCUGUAGCGGGUCUGAGAGGAUGACUCCGCCACACUGGAACUGAGACACGGUCCAGACUCCGUACGGGA
RNAcentral lists this ribosomal RNA (318 nucleotides) under uncultured bacterium. RNAcentral's name for it is "bacterial SSU rRNA". It matches the Rfam family "Bacterial small subunit ribosomal RNA", at positions 30 to 346 of the family's 1533-position model. The record is from RNAcentral.